This 254-nucleotide ribosomal RNA is filed under the name uncultured bacterium. Its description in RNAcentral is "partial 16S ribosomal RNA". It matches the Rfam family "Bacterial small subunit ribosomal RNA", at positions 524 to 777 of the family's 1533-position model. The record is from RNAcentral.
UACGAAGGGGGCUAGCGUUGCUCGGAAUCACUGGGCGUAAAGGGUGCGUAGGCGGGUCUUUAAGUCAGGGGUGAAAUCCUGGAGCUCAACUCCAGAACUGCCUUUGAUACUGAGGAUCUUGAGUUCGGGAGAGGUGAGUGGAACUGCGAGUGUAGAGGUGAAAUUCGUAGAUAUUCGCAAGAACACCAGUGGCGAAGGCGGCUCACUGGCCCGAUACUGACGCUGAGGCACGGAAAGCGUGGGAGCAAACAGGG